Molecule: transfer RNA, 59 nt
Filed under: Peripatoides sp. DVL-2010
Lineage: Eukaryota; Metazoa; Onychophora; Udeonychophora; Euonychophora; Peripatopsidae
Description: tRNA-Glu
Source: RNAcentral
ACUUUAUUAGUGUAAUACAUAUAAAAUUUUCAAUUUUAAGAAAUAAUAUAGUUAAAGUU